AUUGAACGCUGGCGGCAGGCCUAACACAUGCGAGUCGAGCGGAUGAAGGGAGCUUGCUCCUGGAUUCAGCGGCGGACGGGUGAGUAAUGCCUAGGAAUCUGCCUGGUAGUAGGGGAUAACGUCCGGAAACGGGCGCUAAUACCGCAUACGUCCUGAGGGAGAAAGUGGGGGAUCUUCGGACCUCACGCUAUCAGAUGAGCCUAGGUCGGAUUAGCUAGUUGGUGGGGUAAAGGCCUACCAAGGCGACGAUCCGUAACUGGUCUGAGAGGAUGAUCAGUCACACUGGAACUGAGACACGGUCCAGACUCCUACGGGAGGCAGCAGUGGGGAAUAUUGGACAAUGGGCGAAAGCCUGAUCCAGCCAUGCCGCGUGUGUGAAGAAGGUCUUCGGAUUGUAAAGCACUUUAAGUUGGGAGGAAGGGCAGUAAGUUAAUACCUUGCUGUUUUGACGUUACCAACAGAAUAAGCACCGGCUAACUUCGUG
Molecule: ribosomal RNA, 484 nt
Filed under: uncultured bacterium
Lineage: Bacteria
Description: partial 16S ribosomal RNA
Rfam family: Bacterial small subunit ribosomal RNA
Source: RNAcentral